GAUGAACGCUGGCGGCAUGCCUAACACAUGCAAGUCGAACGGGAAGAGGUGUUUCCUGUUGCGGUCGGGUGAGCGACGCGUAAGAGCGUGCCAUGUGGAGGAGCACAACAUCUGGAAGGGGUUACUUAGACCAAGUAGGCCGAAGAGCAGAAGAUGGAAUGCGCCCGAGGGUGGGCUUGCGCCGGACUUGCUUGUUGGUGAGGUAAUGGCUUACCAAGGCGAAGUUGAGUAGCUGAUCUGUGAGGUGGUUCGGCCACACUGGGACUGAGACACGGCCCAGACUCCGACGGGAGGCAGCAGCAGGGAACUUUGGGCAAUGGGCGAAGGCCUGAUUCAGCAAUGCCGCAUGGGUUAAGGAGGCCAUGGGGUGGUAAAGUACUGUUCUCAGGGAAGAAGAACUUCUUUUGUAGCAGAAGACACAAUGACGGUACCUGAGGAAUAAGCAACGGCUAACUACGUG
Molecule: ribosomal RNA, 460 nt
Filed under: uncultured bacterium
Lineage: Bacteria
Description: partial 16S ribosomal RNA
Rfam family: Bacterial small subunit ribosomal RNA
Source: RNAcentral